Molecule: ribosomal RNA, 406 nt
Filed under: uncultured bacterium
Lineage: Bacteria
Description: partial 16S ribosomal RNA
Rfam family: Bacterial small subunit ribosomal RNA
Source: RNAcentral
AUUGAACGCUGGCGGCAGGCCUAACACAUGCAAGUCGAACGAGUGGCGGACGGGUGAGUAAUGUCUGGGAAACUGCCUGAUGGAGGGGGAUAACUACUGGAAACGGUAGCUAAUACCGCAUACCAUCAGAUGUGCCCAGAUGGGAUUAGCUUGUUGGUGGGGUAACGGCUCACCAAGGCGACGAUCCCUAGCUGGUCUGAGAGGAUGACCAGCCACACUGGAACUGAGACACGGUCCAGACUCCUACGGGAGGCAGCAGUGGGGAAUAUUGCACAAUGGGCGCAAGCCUGAUGCAGCAAUGCCGCGUGUAUGAUGAAGGCCUUCGGGUUGUAAAGUACUGUCAGCAGGGAGGCGUUACCCGCAGAAGAAGCCCCGGCUAACUCCGUGCCAGCAGCCGCGGUAAUUC